GCGGUGUAUACGGGCCAAGAGAGGGCGGCCAGA
Molecule: small RNA, 33 nt
Filed under: Bombyx mori (domestic silkworm)
Lineage: Eukaryota; Metazoa; Arthropoda; Insecta; Lepidoptera; Bombycidae
Description: ovarian small RNA-16965
Source: RNAcentral